AUGGCAUGUAUUUUCUUUACGGGAAAAUGUAAUGGCACCGCGAGCAGCGUAUUCAAGCUGCAGACAGUGUCUCUCGGCCCAUUUCACCACGAUGACAAGGACCUGAAACCCAUGGAGGAGCACAAGCUGAGAGCCGUCCAUCAUCUCCUCAGUCGGGACCAUGCUGGUCGGGCCAGCAAGCUGACCCUUGGCGGGCUCGUCGCCGCCGUGGAGAAGGUGGCCGACGAGCUGGAGGAUGCCUACAUGGACCUGGGCGAUGAGUGGCAGGGUGAGAAGAGGGGCAAAUUCCUUGAGAUGAUGAUCACGGACGGCUGCUUUCUGCUGGAGGUGAUGAGGACUGUUGCAGGGAAGGAGUCUAUUCCCAAGGACUACGCUCAUGGCGACCCUAUCUUCAGCUGGUACGGCAUCCAGCACAUCAAGCCCUUCAUCCAGCGUGACAUGCUCAUGGUCGAGAACCAGCUGCCACUGAGGUUGCUCGAGACGAUCGUCGCCAUGGAGGAUGGCACAUGUCCGAGCGUGGCUUCGAUAAACUCCAUGGUGCUCAAGUUCCUCGAAAGGGAAGAUGCCCCGGAAGGGACCGGCUUGGGACUCAAGGACACAAGUCAGAUCAAGAGUAACAGAAAGGUUCUUCACAGAGGCAACAAAGGACGUCAGGGUCGUUCGCCCGGAGAGUGUGGUGCCCCGAUCCGCCUGGAAGCUGUCGGAGGUAGGAAUCCAGUUCCUGCCUAG
Molecule: ribosomal RNA, 729 nt
Filed under: Triticum aestivum (bread wheat)
Lineage: Eukaryota; Viridiplantae; Streptophyta; Magnoliopsida; Poales; Poaceae
Description: partial small subunit ribosomal RNA
Source: RNAcentral